GUUUUAAACAGCGAGUAUUUGUGAUCUGCUCUCUAAGCAAUACUGAGCAGGACUGAGGACUGCAGCAUUGAUUCUGGACAGUCUGUCGCUGUCCCUGCCCGCACCCAACCAACCCAGCACCCAAAAACAACACAACAGCACACCACCACAACACUGCAGCAGGAAGAAAGGGAGCAUGCACAAGCCUCAAUCAUCCAUCAGCUGUAGCCGUAGCAGCAGGAGGAUCUAAUCACAUCCUCACAUGCUUCACUUCAUCAUCCUCUACCUCUUACAUCCUCAUAUCCUCAUGCUCAUCUUCGCAUCCUCAACCUCACACUCACAUCCUUGACCUCAUUCUCACAUCCUCACAUUCUCACCUUCACAUCCUCAACUUCAUCCUUGAAUCCUCAACCUCAAAUCUUUAUCCUUACAUCCUCAACCUCUUCCUCACAUCCUCAAGCUUAUCUUCGCAUACUCAACCUAAUAUUCUCAACCUCAUCCUCACAUCCUCACCCUCAUCCUCACAACCUCACAUUCUCAACUUCACAUCCACAACUUCAUCCUCGAAUUCUCAUCCUCAAAUCCUCACAUCCUCAACCUCAUCCUUGAAUCCUCAACCUCAUCCUCAAGCUCAGCCUCAUCUUCACAUUUUCAACCUUAUUCUCACAUCCAUCUCAUCCUCACACCCUCAACAUCAUCCUAUACUUAUCCUCAACCUCAUCUUCACAUCAAACUCAUCCUAUACUCAUCCUCACAUUCUCAACAUCACCAUCUACACAGCCACAACCUCACUCAUAUUUUAUUUUCCACCUCACCAUCUUCACAUAUUCACAUCCAUAACCUCAUCCUCAUUUUAUUCAUUCUCAACCUCACCAUCUUCACAUCCACAACCUCAUCCUCAUUAUCUUUAUUCUCAACCUCACCAUCUUUACAUCCACAACCUCAUCUUCACCAUCUACACAUUUUCAACCUCAUCAUCUUCACAUCCACAACCUCAUCCGCAUUAUCUUCAUUCUCAACCUCACCAUCUUCCCAUCCACAACCUCAUCUUUACCAUCUUCACACUCUUAACCUCAUCGUCUUCAC
Molecule: long non-coding RNA, 1065 nt
Filed under: Astyanax mexicanus (Mexican tetra)
Lineage: Eukaryota; Metazoa; Chordata; Actinopteri; Characiformes; Acestrorhamphidae
Description: lncRNA (ENSAMXG00005013629.1)
Source: RNAcentral